RNAcentral lists this transfer RNA (77 nucleotides) under Candidatus Glassiibacteriota bacterium. RNAcentral describes it as "Candidatus Glassbacteria bacterium tRNA-Arg". It matches the Rfam family "tRNA". From Rfam's summary of the family: Transfer RNA (tRNA) molecules are approximately 80 nucleotides in length. The record is from RNAcentral. RNAcentral also lists the same sequence under 1 other name. Lineage: Bacteria; Candidatus Glassiibacteriota.
GCCCUCUUAGCUCAGCUGGAUAGAGCAACGGACUUCUAAUCCGUAGGCCGCAGGUUUGAGUCCCGCAGGGGGCGCCA